AUGACUCUUCAGCUACUGCGUUCAUCCCUUUCUCGGAAAACGAAGUUCAGAAACUUACCCCUCGGAGUAGUUCCAGUAACUCUUCCACAGUGUCGGUGUCUUAAGAAAACCAGAGGUGUCUUCAAGAUACAAGUUGAGAUUGGCUUUCAAAGAAGCAUGGCAUUAAAGUCCAUUAUAAAGGCAAGGAUGGAAGAAAGGGUGCAAGGCGGACAUGGAGAUGGAUCCGAAUGGCAUGGCAUGACGAUUGGUUAG
Vicia faba (fava bean) is the source of this 252-nucleotide non-coding RNA. NCBI's taxonomy places the organism in Eukaryota, Viridiplantae, Streptophyta, Magnoliopsida, Fabales, Fabaceae. The record is from the annotation of a GenBank genome assembly.